UCUUAAACUUACAGUUGUGCCUGACUACAUGUUUGGGGGCAAGCAGUUCUACCCGUUAUUUUUACUAUCUCCACACUUCAGACAUACUGAUGUUUGAGCCAUAAAAUAUGCAGGCAGAGAAAAAAACAGGAACACUUUAAGCAUAAAGACGGGAUCUAUCGUGCAGAAGUCAUGACAUUAGCAAGGUUUGAGAUUCGUACCUUUUUCUGCUCCUACCACACAUCAAGACAGGAACCAGAUGACCUGAGAAGACAGAACCCUGAAGAAGGGAAAUAAGGAGCUUCAAGGCUUGAGGAGAAGAGGAGGAGGAAAGAGAGUUUAUAUGCUGCCAAAGCACCACUGUCUACUAAGUUUUUGAGGAAACCAUAUUGCUAGAGAAACUGCAAGCCUGAGCAGCCUCCAAUUGUUGAAGACUUACAUCCAUCUUGGACCUCCAAACAUUCAUAAGCAGGAAGCAGGCCUCAAAAACUAUGGCCCCCAAAUGAGGGCUUGUUCCCCAACCCCCACUUUAGACAUGGAGAAGAAGAAUAAUGGACAAGGAGGCUCCUCCCAGAAGGAUCCAAGGACCCCUGAGGUUGGUGGACAAUGGACUUCCAGCACAGAUUGGAAUCAGAACACAAUCAAGGACACUGUCUCUCCAAUAGAAACUCUUCCUAUGUCUGCCCAGAGUAAUUCCUUAACUGUGAUGGACAAAGAGCUGUGGCAUCAUUGCUUUCCAUUUUUUGAAUGAAAGUUAUGGUGCAGUAAUCCUUUCCCUGCUCCAGCAGGUGAGGGGGUGGCAGAGAGGGGCCAAUAAUUUGUCAUUUUGUUCCUAGAUUGCCAGACCAAGAGGAGCUAUGUCUUGGUCUGCAAAAAAGAACCAGACAUUGCCACAAAUCCUGGGCUUGAGCUGAAUGCAGGGACUGGUGGGUUUCUCUGUUGUGUCCCUUGGAGAGGGAGUGAAGACUUCUUAUGCAGUGCCUCUCAACAUAUUCUAACCUUCCUGCCUGCUAGGCUUGCCAUGUGUUGUGUUCCAGACAGUAAAAUUUAAGCAGAAGUUCUGACUUUCUUACUGCUGGGCUAAGGUAGUUACGUACUAGUGUACUAGUGUGUCUCCCCACAAUGAACCUCCCACCUUCUUCCCACAAAGCCCAAGGGAUAAAAUUCAGGGCAAAUUAGAAUCCAAAAGAAGGAGCCACAAAGUGGAAGAAACCUGGAUGCCUGAGUCACUAUGUGGGGAAAACACCAACUAAAAAGCUUUAUGUGAUCCACAUUUGAUAUGAGUGAGAAAUAAAUUUUUGAUUGUUUUAGGCCAUUGAUAUUUUGAGAUUGCAACAACAGCUAGUAUAAGUUAGCCCAAUGCUUUAGGAAAACGUCUAUUUGUUUAUCUAAUCUAUGAAGAUCACUGACUCAUUACUCUGUUUUGUUUUCUUAAUGAACACAAUAUACCAUGUGGGUAAGAGAUAAGGGGAAGGGGUGGAGGGGGGAUUUGGAGCCAGAAGACAAGAAGUUCUCUCUUUGCCUAUUCAUGCGUAUUUAGUAAAUUAACAUUUCCAUGCUGGGUCAUGAUUAUUUUCCCUGACCCUGCCCAGAAGAAAGCAAUCUCCAACUGUAUACUCACUGGCAUUUUGCUUUCAGGGAUACCGUUUUGUAAUUGGGCUCGGUUCAGUCCUCAUGGUCUGAAGAGAAAAUGAUAUACCAUGCUUUAAUAAGAGAUGUUCUGUCUUUAGUGCAAGACCCAGCCCACUGUUUGUAAUAAACUCUGAAGUCUGUGCUUGACAAGUACUACUUACAUACAGAGCAUGUCGUGAAGUAUAACAGAGAAGAUGAAGCCUGGUAAAAUGACACAGUUUGCUUCUCUCUUCAACAAAGGAAACUCUGAUUCUGGUUUUAGAAGGGACCGGCACCUUCUCCUUUCCCUGCCAGAUUUUCCUUCUACCAAGACUGGGGUCCAACUGUGAGCCCUGUGCUUCAGGUCAGGAGAAAUUCAGUAUGUGAAAGCAUUUUGCAAUCCGUAAAGCUUAAAUAUGCAUGCACGUUGUGAGGCAAUAUGGUAUAAAGGAAAGCAGAGGUUUAGACGUCAGUCCCACUCAUUUUAAAUCCUGGGUCCACUGCCCUCUAGCUAGGUAAUUCUUGGAAUGUUUCUCAACUUCUCUGAUCUUCAGUUCCCUCCACUAUAAAAUAAGAUCUAUAAGACCUACUACUUAGGGUGGGAAUAAAAUCAAUAACAUGUGAAUACCUAGCUCAGUGUCUGGUACAUGUUGGUGCUCAAUAAAUGUGUAAUUCCUUCCUUUCCCUUUCCUACCCACAUGCUGUCCUCAGGGUAGAACACAUAGAUGAUUCUUUCUCGUGCCCUGCCUGCCUCAGUACAUUUCUGGAUGUACGGAUUGAGACUUCCUGACUUACGAUUGCAUAAACUCCACAGCAAGUAUCUUUGGCUGUGUUAGUGCAAAUCCCUUGAAUAAUGUCCCAGUUCUCCUCUACGGCAGACUCCGUUGGAUUAAGAAAGAAGGCAACAGAAUGGAAAGAGCAUUCAACUUGGUGUCAAGUCCUGGGUACAGAUCUCUUUUCCAGCCUGUGCACUGUUGGUUAAAUUAGAAAUCUCUCUAAACCCCAAUUUACUCAUAUGGAAAAUGUCAGUUAUAGCUUCCAUAAAAGAACUUCAUGACAUAAAAAAACCUAGCACAAAUAUAAGGUAUUUCAGUAUACUUCCAGUAUAUCUUUGCUUACUCUUAUUGUCCUAUGUGUUAAUCCUACUAAAAAGCCUUGUGUCCCAUGUGUCUUCUCCCACACCUACUGAGUUUGUAAGGCAAGGUAGGUGCUUUGGGCAGGCAUCCAUCCAUGGCAUCACUUCAUCUAUCUUUGCUCAUGUUCAAGAAUGGUUUGGUUUCUUUCAUGCGCGUCCGUGUGAAGAGACCACCAAACAGGCUUUGUGUGAGCAACAUGGCUGUUUAUUUCACCUGGGUGCAGGCGGGCUGAGUCCGAAAAGAGAGUCAGCGAAGGGAGAUGGGGCGGGGCCAUUUUAUAGGAUUUGGGAAGGUAAUGGAAAAUUACAGUCAAAGGGCGUUGUUCUCUGGU
This 3057-nucleotide long non-coding RNA is filed under the name Homo sapiens (human). Its description in RNAcentral is "HSALNT0121036". The record is from RNAcentral. Lineage: Eukaryota; Metazoa; Chordata; Mammalia; Primates; Hominidae.